GUCAAACAAAAAAAGGCUUACGGUGGAUACCUAGGCACUCAAAGACGAUGAAGGGCGUGGUAACCAACGAAAUGCUCCGGGGAGCUGGACACAAGCUUAUCCGGAGAUUCCCGAAUAGGGCAACCUUUUGCACUACCUGUUGAAUUCAUAGACAGGAGAGAGAAAACCCGGUGAAUUGAAACAUCUCAGUAGCCGGAGGAAGAGAAAGCAACCGCGAUUCCCCUAGUAGCGGCGAGCGAACAGGGAACAGCCUAAACCUAGAUCAGCUGUAAAGUAAUCUAGGUGUUGUGGGAAGAUAUAUUGUUAUAGGGGUCAUAGAGUUAGAUGAAGCAGCUGAAUCCUGCACCAUAGAUGGUGAAAGUCCAGUAAUCGAAAACUUUAUUUGGUUUAUUCAAAAUAGAAUAAAUAGUUGGAGGUUAAUUGGCUUUGUAGAAACUUCUUUGUUUUUUUUUCUUUAUUUUUCUUUUUUUUUGUUGAAUAGAAUAUUUAACCAAAGGGGGAGCGUAGAGGAAUAAAAGCAUUUUAUAGCACAAAGUUUUACCUUUUAAACUACCUCCAUAUCUUAUCCCAAGUAGCAUGGGGCACGUGUAAUCCCGUGUGAAUCCGCGAGGACCACCUCGUAAGGCUAAAUACUCUUGAGUGACCGAUAGUGAAUGAGUACCGCGAGGGAAAGGUGAAAGAGAACCCUGAAACCCUUUAUGGAGAGGGGAGUGAAAAAGAACAUGAAACCGUAAGCUAACAAUCAGUGGGAGGUUUGAAUAAAAACUGACCACGUGCCUGUUGAAGAAUGAGCCGGCGACUUAUGGGGAGUGGCUUGGUUAAAGAUAUAUUUCUGGAGCCGAAGCGAAAGCAAGUCCUUACAGGGCUAUUUUCUUAGGAAAGUGUCACUUUUCAUAGACCCGAACCCGGGUGAUCUAACCAUGGCCAGGAUGAAGCUUGGGUAAUACCAAGUGGAGGUCCGAACUCGUCGAUGUUGAAAAAUCGUGGGAUGAGCUGUGGUUAGGGGUGAAAUGCCAAUCGAACUCGGAGCUAGCUGGUUCUCCUCGAAAUGCGUUGAGGCGCAGCGGUUGUGGAAGUUUUAAACAAGGGCUGUCUAGGGGUAAAGCACUGUUUCGGUGCGGGCUGCGAAAGCGGUACCAAAUCGUGGCAAACUGAGAAUACUAGGCAAUGCCUUCCCACAACCAGUGGGACUGUGGGGGAUAAGCUCCAUUGUCAAAAGGGAAAGAGCCCAGAUCACCAGCUAAGGCCCCAGAAUAAUCGCUUAGUGGUAAAGGAGGUAAGGGUGCUAAAACAGCCAGGAGGUUUGCUUAGAAGCAGCCACCCUUUAAAGAGUGCGUAAUAGCUCACUGGUGGAGCGCUCUCGCGCCGAAAAUUUACGGGGCUAAGCGAUUUGCCGAAGCUGUGGGUUUAUGUACUAUCCUAUUUAGGAUUCUUCUAUGUUUAUUUAUUUACAUAGAGUGUGGACUUUAUUAAAUCGAAGAUUUAAUAAAAGCGUCAAUAAAAUUGCAUAUACGGUAGAGGAGCGUUCCGCGUUAGGGUGAAGCAAGGGCGAAAGCGUUUGUGGACAAGGCGGAAGUGAGAAUGUCGGCUUGAGUAACGUAAACAUUGGUGAAGAAUCCAAUGCCCCGAAAACCUAAGGGUUCCUUCACUAGGCUCGUCCAUGGAGGGUUAGUCAGGGCCUAAGGUUAGGCCGUUAGGCGUCGCCGAUGGGCAACAGGUCAACAUUCCUGUACUGCUUUUAGUUGAUACCGAGGGACGAAACAAUAGUUGACCAACCAGUGUUGGGGUCUGGUUAGGUAAUUUUGCAUAAAAAUAAAGAAGAAAAACUGUAUUUUUAGCAAAAUUCCUGAAUAAAGUUCAGGUUAGUGGUUGUUUUCCAAGAAAAGCUCGAACUAUCAUAAGCUAAAAGUACCUGUACCUGAAACCGACACAGGUAGGUAGGUAGAGAAUACUAAGGGGCGCGAGACACCUCUCUCUAAGGAACUCGGCAAAAUGGCUCCGUAACUUCGGAAGAAGGAGCACCUGCGAGAGCAGGUCGCAGUGACCAGGCCCAGGCGACUGUUUACCAAAAACACAGGUCUCCGCUAAGUCGUAAGACGAUCCAUGGGGGCUGACGCCUGCCCGGUGCCGGAAGGUAAAGGAAGCUGGUUAUUUUUGGGCUUUGCCCUUGGAGAAGCUGGCAACCGAAGCCCCGGUGAACGGCGGCCGUAACUCUGACGGUCCUAAGGUAGCGAAAUUCCUUGUCGGGUAAGUUCCGACCCGCACGAAAGGCGUAACGAUCUGGGUACUGUCUCGGAGAGAGACUCGGUGAAAUAGACAUGUCCGUGAAGAUGCGGACUUCCUACACCUGGACAGAAAGACCCUAUGAAGCUUUACUAUAACCUGGGAUUGGGUCUGGGCUCCUUUUGCGCAGCUUAGGUGGGAGGCUGAGAAACUUUUCUUUCGGGAAGGUGGAGCCAACAGUGAGAUACCACUCUGAAGGAGCUAAGGUUCUAAAGGUGUUCCUUGAAUCAGGACGCCUAACAGUUCCAGGCGGGUAGUUUGUCUGGGGCGGACACCUCCUAAAAGGUAACGGAGGUGUGCAAAGGUUCCCUCAGGCUGGACGGAAAUCAGCUGUAGAGUGUAAAGGCAUAAGGGAGCUUGACUGCAAGACCUACAAGUCGAGCAGAGGCGAAAGCCGGCCUUAGUGAUCCGACGGUGCCGUGUGGAAGGGCCGUCGCUCAACGGAUAAAAGUUACUCUAGGGAUAACAGGCUAAUCGAGCCCAAGAGUUCACAUCGACGGCUCGGUUUGGCACCUCUAUGUCGGCUCAUCGCAACCUCGAGCUGUAGUCGGUUCGAAGGGUUGGGCUGUUCGCCCAUGAAAGCGGUACGUGAGCUGGGUUCAGAACGUCGUGAGACAGUUUGGUCCAUAUCCGGUGUAGGCGUUGGAGCAUUGAGGGGAGCCUUCCAUAGUACGAGAGGACCUGGAAGGAUGUACCUCUGGUCUACCAGUUCUUCUACCAAGGGGAUACGCUGGGUAGCCAUGUACAGAGUGGAGAACUGCUGAAAGCAUCUAAGUAGGAAGCCCACCCCAAGAUGAGUGCUCCCCUAGAGGUCACGGCAAGAGAAGCCGUUUGAUAGGUAGCAGGUGGAAGGCUAGCAAUGGUUGCAGCCGAGCUACACUAAUAGACCCAUCGAGUUUGAC
RNAcentral lists this ribosomal RNA (3185 nucleotides) under Symbiochloris handae. Its description in RNAcentral is "LSU rRNA". It matches the Rfam family "Bacterial large subunit ribosomal RNA". The record is from RNAcentral. Lineage: Eukaryota; Viridiplantae; Chlorophyta; Trebouxiophyceae; Trebouxiales; Trebouxiaceae.